This 335-nucleotide unclassified non-coding RNA is filed under the name soil metagenome. Its description in RNAcentral is "partial contains 5.8S ribosomal RNA, internal transcribed spacer 2, and large subunit ribosomal RNA". The stretch from base 1 to 120 matches the Rfam family "5.8S ribosomal RNA", at positions 35 to 154 of the family's 154-position model. The record is from RNAcentral.
GAUGAAGAACGUAGCGAAAUGCGAUAAGUAAUGUGAAUUGCAGAAUUCAGUGAAUCAUCGAAUCUUUGAACGCACAUUGCGCCCGCCAGUAUUCUGGCGGGCAUGCCUGUUCGAGCGUCAUUUCAACCAUCAAGCCCCCGGCUUGUGUUGGGGACCUGCGGCUGCCGCAGGCCCUGAAAACCAGUGGCGGGCUCGCUAGUCACUCCGAGCGUAGUAAUACAUCUCGCUCAGGGCGUGCUGCGGGUUCCGGCCGUUAAAAUGCCUUAUUUACCCAAGGUUGACCUCGGAUCAGGUAGGAAGACCCGCUGAACUUAAGCAUAUCAAUAAGCGGAGGA